RNAcentral lists this ribosomal RNA (198 nucleotides) under uncultured Glomeromycotina. RNAcentral describes it as "partial small subunit ribosomal RNA". It matches the Rfam family "Eukaryotic small subunit ribosomal RNA", at positions 569 to 768 of the family's 1831-position model. Lineage: Eukaryota; Fungi; Glomeromycota. The record is from RNAcentral.
AGCAGCCGCGGUAAUUCCAGCUCCAAUAGCGUAUAUUAAAGUUGUUGCAGUUAAAAAGCCGUAGUUGAAUUUCGGGAUUGGCGCAUCGGUCGUGCCUCACGGGGUAUGAACUGGUGCAUCAAUUUCUCACCUUCUGGAGAACCGCGAUGUCCUUAAUUGGAUGCCGCGGGGAACCAGACCUUUACUUUGAAAAAUUGA